Molecule: ribosomal RNA, 497 nt
Filed under: uncultured bacterium
Lineage: Bacteria
Description: partial 16S ribosomal RNA
Rfam family: Bacterial small subunit ribosomal RNA
Source: RNAcentral
GAUGAACGCUGGCGGCGUGCCUAAUACAUGCAAGUCGAGCGGACGGACGCGAAGCUUGCUUCUCUGUUGUUUGCGGCGGACGGGUGAGUAACACGUGGAUAACCUACUUAUCAGACUGGUAUACCUUCGGGACACCGUAGCUAAUACCGGAUAAUAUUUUUAACCGCAUGGUUUAAAAGUGAAAGAUGGUCUUUCUGUCACUUAUAGAUGGUUCCGCGCUGCAUUAGCUAGUUGGUAAGGUAACGGCUUACCAAGGCAACGAUGCAUAGCCGACCUGAGAGGGGGAUCGGCCACACUGGAACUGAGACACGGUCCAGACUCCUACGGGAGGCAGCAGAAGGGAAUCUUCCGCAAUGGGCGAAAGCCUGACGGAGCAACGCCGCGUGAGUGAUGAAGGUCUUCGGAUCGUAAAACUCUGUUAUUAGGGAAGAACAUAUGUGUAAGUAACUGUGCACAUCUUGACGGUACCUAAUCAGAAAGCCACGGCUAACUACGUG